CUAAACUAUCAUGGCUGCAACACAACUGCUCUGACAUGUGAAGAACAUACAUUGGCUUUCAGAUUACUUGUCAAGUCUCCAAUGUUUCCGCAGCAAGGCUGGAGGCCAGCCUUCUCUCUCGGCUCUGCAGAGAAAACCCGGAGUUGCUCCCGCCUUACACCAGUGGAGAAAGCAGCAGAGUUUACCCCCAGGCACUGCCCAUCACAGAUAUGAAAGGAGCAGCACAGACAUCGAGGGAAAACAGUCAGGGCCGAUGCUAUGGCCAAGGAUAUCAGACCUGCCAUGCACUUCAGCUUCACUGCUCACCAUUGGUGCCCCCUGGGCUUGCUCAGGGCACAGAAUCUACAGAGACUUCAGCUCACAGACCAUCAGGCAGCAAACCCAUGACCUCCUGUGGAAGGCACAGCUCAGAAGGAACAGGGAGGCAGCAGGGAAGAAGCAGCAAUGACACAAGAAAUUCACCUCCAGCAGCAGCACAGCCCCACAACGGCAUGGGUGUCAGCCAAGGACUGAGCUCUCUGCCUCGGCAGCUGUCCUCCCCAUGCCACCCCAGCCAGCUCCGCAGCACAAGAGCUCUGCUGAGGGAUUUGGGCAAAUGGCACGGUCCCAAGUCCCCCUGUGCCAAUGCCUCAGUGUAUGCAGGAACCAAUCUGCAAGGCUCUGUCUUGCGGGAUGCACAGCCUGGGCAAGCAUGCACCAUCCCCCCUGCACAGCCCAAAUUCAACGCAGCCCGACAGUGUGCCGCUGUGCUCCCAGACCAAAUAUAG
Molecule: long non-coding RNA, 767 nt
Filed under: Apteryx rowi (Okarito brown kiwi)
Lineage: Eukaryota; Metazoa; Chordata; Aves; Apterygiformes; Apterygidae
Description: lncRNA (ENSARWG00000004998.1)
Source: RNAcentral